RNAcentral lists this ribosomal RNA (614 nucleotides) under Shigella sonnei. RNAcentral describes it as "partial 23S ribosomal RNA". It matches the Rfam family "Bacterial large subunit ribosomal RNA", at positions 962 to 1578 of the family's 2925-position model. Lineage: Bacteria; Pseudomonadati; Pseudomonadota; Gammaproteobacteria; Enterobacterales; Enterobacteriaceae. The record is from RNAcentral.
CCGGAGAAUGUUAUCACGGGAGACACACGGCGGGUGCUAACGUCCGUCGUGAAGAGGGAAACAACCCAGACCGCCAGCUAAGGUCCCAAAGUCAUGGUUAAGUGGGAAACGAUGUGGGAAGGCCCAGACAGCCAGGAUGUUGGCUUAGAAGCAGCCAUCAUUUAAAGAAAGCGUAAUAGCUCACUGGUCGAGUCGGCCUGCGCGGAAGAUGUAACGGGGCUAAACCAUGCACCGAAGCUGCGGCAGCGACGCUUAUGCGUUGUUGGGUAGGGGAGCGUUCUGUAAGCCUGCGAAGGUGUGCUGUGAGGCAUGCUGGAGGUAUCAGAAGUGCGAAUGCUGACAUAAGUAACGAUAAAGCGGGUGAAAAGCCCGCUCGCCGGAAGACCAAGGGUUCCUGUCCAACGUUAAUCGGGGCAGGGUGAGUCGACCCCUAAGGCGAGGCCGAAAGGCGUAGUCGAUGGGAAACAGGUUAAUAUUCCUGUACUUGGUGUUACUGCGAAGGGGGGACGGAGAAGGCUAUGUUGGCCGGGCGACGGUUGUCCCGGUUUAAGCGUGUAGGCUGGUUUUCCAGGCAAAUCCGGAAAAUCAAGGCUGAGGCGUGAUGACGAGGCACU